RNAcentral lists this ribosomal RNA (468 nucleotides) under uncultured bacterium. RNAcentral describes it as "partial 16S ribosomal RNA". It matches the Rfam family "Bacterial small subunit ribosomal RNA", at positions 28 to 507 of the family's 1533-position model. The record is from RNAcentral.
GACGAACGCUGGCGGCGUGCUUAACACAUGCCAGUCGAACGGACAGGCCCUGCUUUUGUGGGGUGCUCGAGUGCCGAACGCGUGAGUAACACGUGAGUAACCUCCCCUUGUAUUUGGGAUAACUUCAGGAAACUGGGGCUAAUACCGGAGAGGAGCUCCUGCUGCAUGGUGGGGGUUGGAAAGUUUCGGCUGUUGGGGAUGGACUCGCUGGUUAUCCGCUUGUUUGUGGGGUAGUGGCUUACCAAGGCUUUGACGGGUAGCCGGCCUGGGAGGGUGACCGGGGACCUUGGGACUGAGGGAGGGACCAGAAUCCUACGGGAGGCAGCAGUGGGGAAUAUUGCACAAUGGGCGGAAGCCUGAGGCAGCAACGCCGGGUGCGGGAUGACGGGCUUCGGGUUGUAAACCGCUGUCGCCGGUGACGAAGCGGGAGUGACGGUAAUGGGUAAAGAAGCACCGGCUAACUACGUG